This 295-nucleotide ribosomal RNA is filed under the name Agrobacterium tumefaciens 5A. RNAcentral describes it as "partial 16S ribosomal RNA". It matches the Rfam family "Bacterial small subunit ribosomal RNA", at positions 1248 to 1533 of the family's 1533-position model. Lineage: Bacteria; Pseudomonadati; Pseudomonadota; Alphaproteobacteria; Hyphomicrobiales; Rhizobiaceae. The record is from RNAcentral.
GGCGAGACAGCGAUGUCGAGCUAAUCUCCAAAAGCCAUCUCAGUUCGGAUUGCACUCUGCAACUCGAGUGCAUGAAGUUGGAAUCGCUAGUAAUCGCAGAUCAGCAUGCUGCGGUGAAUACGUUCCCGGGCCUUGUACACACCGCCCGUCACACCAUGGGAGUUGGUUUUACCCGAAGGUAGUGCGCUAACCGCAAGGAGGCAGCUAACCACGGUAGGGUCAGCGACUGGGGUGAAGUCGUAACAAGGUAGCCGUAGGGGAACCUGCGGCUGGAUCACCUCCUUUCUAAGGAAGC